Molecule: non-coding RNA, 1253 nt
Organism: Anas platyrhynchos (mallard)
Lineage: Eukaryota; Metazoa; Chordata; Aves; Anseriformes; Anatidae
Source: RefSeq, a predicted model, not a curated record
AGGUCUUUCCACUCCAGAGCUGUAGGCCUGUCAGACUCUGCCUCGACUCUCCCACACCAGUGUCCCGGCUCCCUGCCUGGGAAGCAUGAAUACAGCCGAGGGCUCUCAGCCUCAUUGCCUGCCUCUCCCAGGAUGUUGACUUCCAAGAUGCUUUCUUAAAAACUGUUGUUGACCUUGACCCCUCUUUUACAUGAAUGGAGUGGCCAGCAGCUGCUGACCUGCAGUGUGAUUAUCAGUGUCACGAGGAAACCUCGAGCAAUUUGGAAAAGUGUUUUUCAGAGUAUCAACAGAGUAAUUCAUUAGUCCUCCAACAUUUCUUUGAACAAUUUGGAAUCUCUUAUCAUUCUUCUUCUUCAAGUUCCUCCUGCAAAUUCGGUUUGUGGUGGUCAGCAGCUGUGUCUGACAGCAGACUGCAUGUUACCUGACAGUUAUAAACAAAGACAUGAAGGAAGACAACAGUGUCAACAAUCCUGUUGUUUAUUGCCUUUUAUCUGGAAUGGUGCAAACAAAACAGAAUUAGGCCUCAUGCAGGCCUCACCUGAAGGAUCCUCAACAAAACCACACAAUUAAAAUUCACUUGGCUCCACGUUGCAUGGGAAACCUGAAUCACAGGUCACUGAUGAAGAGAGAGGAGAAAAGUGAUUGAAAAACACAUUCAGAAGCUGUCUACUAUUUCUAAGAACUGCAGCAACAUUACAGAGGGAGGAAUAAACUGGAGAUGAGAAAGUCCUUCCAGAGCUCCACCUGUUGUGAUUCUGGUUGAGGUUCUUCUCCAUCCAUUGGGCAAGAAAGCUACUUCAGGAAGGAAACCAACACAUGGCACCAGAAGAGAUGACUGCAUCAGUUUCUGCCUCAUUGGCAUGACAUUUCUUUGUUGUAUGUCACUUCAGGGUGAGGAUUUUACUGAAUCAGGAGUCCCACUGCAAUCUGUGGGGAUAUGAAACACAGAUAAUUGAAUUGUCUGAUGUAACUCCCAGUUAAAAUAAUUGGAAAGAACUCUGUGGUAUCUUCAGAACCUGUUGCCCAAAGUCACAAAGAAAAUACAUCCAAGGAAAGACCUCAGACUUCCUGCUUUCCUCACAAGUUGCCUUAUCUUGAGCCUAUAUUUCCUUUGUAGUAGUCAGGAGCCUAUGUUGUAUUCCUGCUUACAUGUGAAUUUCAAUAAACAGAAUAAGAAGGUCCAAUGUCAUCUGAUUGUGUCAUCAUGUGUGAAUUUUAUUUUUUGGACUUGAGAUGAAGUGCUCACUUUAUUU